AACGCACCUUGCGCUCCUUGGUAUUCCGAGGAGCAUGCCUGUUUGAGUGUCAUGAAACCCUCAAACCCAAGUUUUGGAUUUCGGUCCAUGCUUGAGUUUGGAUUUGGAUGUUUGCCGGUGAUGAACCGACUCAUCUUAAAAGUAUUAGCUGGAUCUGUCUAUAUGACUGGUUUGACUUGGCAUAAUAAGUAUUUUGCUGAGGACAUCUUCGGAUGGCCAGGACCUAGACUAUUGUCUGCUAACUAAACCAUCACUUUAAGUGCAUCCUUGGAUGUUACUCAUUGUGUAACUUUGACAUCUGGCCUCAAAUCAGGUAGGACUACCCGCUGAACUUAA
Molecule: unclassified non-coding RNA, 336 nt
Filed under: uncultured Filobasidium
Lineage: Eukaryota; Fungi; Basidiomycota; Tremellomycetes; Filobasidiales; Filobasidiaceae
Description: sequence contains ITS2
Rfam family: 5.8S ribosomal RNA (bases 1-52)
Source: RNAcentral